RNAcentral lists this ribosomal RNA (497 nucleotides) under uncultured bacterium. RNAcentral's name for it is "partial 16S ribosomal RNA". It matches the Rfam family "Bacterial small subunit ribosomal RNA", at positions 28 to 507 of the family's 1533-position model. The record is from RNAcentral.
GAUGAACGCUGGCGGCGUGCCUAAUACAUGCAAGUCGAGCGAACAGAUGAGGAGCUUGCUCCUCUGACGUUAGCGGCGGACGUGUGAGUAACACGUGGAUAACCUACCUAUAAAACUGGGAUAACUUCGGGAAACCGGAGCUAAUACCGGAUAAUAUAUUGAACCGCAUGGUUCAAUAGUGAAAGACGGUUUUGCUGUCACUUAUAGAUGGAUCCGCGCCGCAUUAGCUAGUUGGUAAGGUAAAGGCUUACCAAGGCAACGAUGCGUAGCCGACCUGAGAGGAUGAUCGGCCACACUGGCACUGAGACACGGCCCAGACUCCUACGGGAGGCAGCAGUAGGGAAUCUUCCGCAAUGGGCGAAAGCCUGACGGAGCAACGCCGCGUGAGUGAUGAAGGUCUUCGGAUCGUAAAACUCUGUUAUUAGGGAAGAACAAAUGUGUAAGAAACUAUGCACGUCUUGACGGUACCUAAUCAGAAAGCCACGGCUAACUACGUG